RNAcentral lists this ribosomal RNA (450 nucleotides) under uncultured archaeon. Its description in RNAcentral is "bacterial SSU rRNA". It matches the Rfam family "Archaeal small subunit ribosomal RNA", at positions 10 to 434 of the family's 1478-position model. The record is from RNAcentral.
GAUCCCUGCCGGACCCGACUGCUAUCGGAUUGAGAUUUAGCCAUGCGAGUCGAACGCUCCCCUGUUGCGGGGGGCGUGGCGUACGGCUCAGUAACACGUAGUCAACCUGCCCUGGAGACAAGGACAACCCCGGGAAACUGGGAUUAAUCCGUGAUAGGUCAUCUCAUCUGGAAAGAGAGAUGGCUUAAAGGGGUGCGCGGGCUUCUUCCGUGCAUUCGCUCCAGGAUGGGACUGCGUCCGAUCAGGCUGUUGGCGGGGUAAUGGCCCACCAAACCUGUAACCGGUACGGGCCUUGAGAGAGGUGGCCCGGAGAUGGACACUGAGAGAAGGGUCCAGGUCCUACGGGGCGCAGCAGGCGCGAAACCUUCGCAAUGCGCGAAAGCGUGACGAGGUUAAUCCGAGUNGGCCCCCGCUGAGGGGGUCUUUUGUCAGCUGUAAAUAGGCGGGCGA